UUUCUCUCAGUUUUAAGGCUUUCUUGUGCUUUGGAGGAAACAUGUUCUGACAUGCUGGAGAUGGUGGUGUUAAUAACCUCUAAAGGAGCUAAAUCUGGAGGUUUGAGUGAAAUAGCACUUUCAGAACCGUACUUUUUCUCACAACACGCUGAGGAAAGUGCAGAAGCUCUGUAUAUGCAUUUAUGAGAGGGAUUCAUGCCAUGCAUAUGACAAUUUGCAUACCAGACUCCGUGACAAAGAGGGACCGCAGGUGAAUCCCCAGCGAUCUGCUUUGUAGAGAGGAUUUUUCCAGCCCCUAAUCACAGAGAAGUAUCCAGCUCUCCAUCUGCUCCCCAGAGCUGGCUGUUUUGAUUUAAGUGAAAAUAACCAAGAAUAGAAAAUGGCACGUAACAGAGUCCCAAGCCAA
This is a long non-coding RNA of Empidonax traillii (willow flycatcher), 406 nucleotides long. RefSeq lists it as uncharacterized. The record is from RefSeq and is a predicted model, not a curated record. NCBI's taxonomy places the organism in Eukaryota, Metazoa, Chordata, Aves, Passeriformes, Tyrannidae. The transcript is spliced from 2 exons.